UGAUGCAGCAACGCCGCGUGCGGGAUGACGGCCUUCGGGUUGUAAACCGCUUUUAGUAGGGAAGAAGGGCUUCGGCUUGACGGUACCUGCAGAAAAAGGACCGGCUAACUACGUGCCAGCAGCCGCGGUAAUACGUAGGGUCCGAGCGUUGUCCGGAAUUAUUGGGCGUAAAGAGCUCGUAGGCGGUUUGUCGCGUCUGCUGUGAAAUCUGGAGGCUCAACCUCCAGCCUGCAGUGGGUACGGGCAGACUAGAGUGCGGUAGGGGAGAAUGGAAUUCCUGGUGUAGCGGUGGAAUGCGCAGAUAUCAGGAGGAACACCGAUGGCGAAGGCAGUUCUCUGGGCCGUAACUGACGCUGAGGAGCGAAAGCGUGGGGAGCGAACAGGAUUAGAUACCCUGGUAGUCCACGCCGUAAACGUUGGGCGCUAGAUGUGGGGACCUUUCCACGGUUUCCGUGUCGUAGCUAACGCAUUAAGCGCCCCGCCUGGGGAGUACGGCCGCAAGGCUAAAACUCAAAGGAAUUGACGGGGGCCCGCACAAGCGGCGGAGCAUGCGGAUUAAUUCGAUGCAACGCGAAGAACCUUACCAAGGCUUGACAUAACCGAGAACGCCGCAGAAAUGUGGAACUCUUUGGACACUCGGUUACAGGUGGUGCAUGGUUGUCGUCAGCUCGUGUCGUGAGAUGUUGGGUUAAGUCCCGCAACGAGCGCAACCCUCGUCGCAUGUUGCCAGCACGUAAUGGUGGGAACUCAUGUGAGACUGCCGGGGUCAACUCGGAGGAAGGUGGGGAUGACGUCAAAUCAUCAUGCCCCUUAUGUCUUGGGCUUCACGCAUGCUACAAUGGCCGGUACAAAGGGCUGCGAUGUCGUAAGGCGGAGCGAAUCCCAAAAAGCCGGUCUCAGUUCGGAUUGAGGUCUGCAACUCGACCUCAUGAAGUCGGAGUCGCUAGUAAUCGCAGAUCAGCAACGCUGCGGUGAAUACGUUCCCGGGCCUUGUACACACCGCCCGUCAAGUCAUGAAAGUCG
This 1023-nucleotide ribosomal RNA is filed under the name Agromyces sp. Its description in RNAcentral is "bacterial SSU rRNA". It matches the Rfam family "Bacterial small subunit ribosomal RNA", at positions 384 to 1413 of the family's 1533-position model. Lineage: Bacteria; Bacillati; Actinomycetota; Actinomycetes; Micrococcales; Microbacteriaceae. The record is from RNAcentral.